CUGGGUGGGGACCCGUCUCCCUGGGAACUGUGUUCUCCGCAUUGUCUGUGGGGCAUACAGCAAAGGUUAUUAACAAAGGCCACUUCCCUUCCCGGGCAUCUCUCGGGAGACGCAUGUCACAGGCUCCAAACUAGUAGCUAACAAGACUCACACUUGAGAAAAUGCAGUAAAUUAAGGAGAAUUGGAGACUCAUUCUUAGCACAGAAGGAUAUUUAGAAUUAAGCAGAAAGCACAUGAGACAACUACUUGGAAGCAUUUAUGAUUGUUGCCAUCUCACUAAUGACGCAUCUAUGAGUGCAAGAUGUUCUGAAGACCACCCUGAGCUGUUUGUGGCCCAUUCGCUAUUUAUGUAUGACAAGGCCUAAGGCCAGAAGGCAAUGAAACCCACUGAGGCUAACGGUCAAUAGCCUGGGAACUGUGCAACAUGCUUCUAACUUCUGUCUGACACCAGCAAGUUCCAGCUACUACUGAUGGCCCACCACUCAUCUAACUUCACUGCACCGCUAGCCCUCCAUAAAAUGAAGAGACUCCUUGCUUGUGUGAAAUCUAUGCAGAAUCUUAUCUAUGAUAAAGUAUAAGCCUGAUGCCAGAAGUUCCCUUUUCUUUGUUAUGUAUUCAGCUUCAUAGACUAUUUCAUUUUUUUCAAAGCAAGUCUUAGUGACUUUUUUUUUUUUUACAAUAGUCUGAUCAUUCAUUUAUGUAUUCCUACAACAACUACCUAGUAACUUCUUUGUCAGACACUGCUUUCAUUGCAUAGGAUACACUGGAAAAAGUGACCGGUGAACUUGCUUGGUCAAAGAGUAAAAGUGCUAUGAAAAGGUAAUAUUCCUCUUUCUAUCACUAUAGUUAAUAAAAGACAAGUUCAAC
Molecule: long non-coding RNA, 867 nt
Filed under: Fukomys damarensis (Damara mole-rat)
Lineage: Eukaryota; Metazoa; Chordata; Mammalia; Rodentia; Bathyergidae
Description: lncRNA (ENSFDAG00000022224.1)
Source: RNAcentral